Molecule: ribosomal RNA, 453 nt
Filed under: uncultured Comamonas sp.
Lineage: Bacteria; Pseudomonadati; Pseudomonadota; Betaproteobacteria; Burkholderiales; Comamonadaceae
Description: bacterial SSU rRNA
Rfam family: Bacterial small subunit ribosomal RNA
Source: RNAcentral
CACAAGCGGUGGAUGAUGUGGUUUAAUUCGAUGCAACGCGAAAACCUUACCCACCUUUGACAUGUACGGAAUCCUCUAGAGAUAGAGGAGUGCUCGAAAGAGAGCCGUAACACAGGUGCUGCAUGGCUGUCGUCAGCUCGUGUCGUGAGAUGUUGGGUUAAGUCCCGCAACGAGCGCAACCCUUGUCAUUAGUUGCUACGAAAGGGCACUCUAAUGAGACUGCCGGUGACAAACCGGAGGAAGGUGGGGAUGACGUCAAGUCCUCAUGGCCCUUAUAGGUGGGGCUACACACGUCAUACAAUGGCUGGUACAAAGGGUUGCCAACCCGCGAGGGGGAGCCAAUCCCAUAAAGCCAUUCGUAGUCCGGAUCGCAGUCUGCAACUCGACUGCGUGAAGUCGGAAUCGCUAGUAAUCGUGGAUCAGAAUGUCACGGUGAAUACGUUCCCGGGUCUU